Molecule: ribosomal RNA, 520 nt
Filed under: uncultured microorganism
Description: bacterial SSU rRNA
Rfam family: Bacterial small subunit ribosomal RNA
Source: RNAcentral
GAGUUUGAUCGUGGCUCAGGAUGAACGCUGGCGGCGUGCCUAAUACAUGCAAGUCGAGCGAACAGACGAGGAGCUUGCUCCUCUGACGUUAGCGGCGGACGGGUGAGUAACACGUGGAUAACCUACCUAUAAGACUGGGAUAACUUCGGGAAACCGGAGCUAAUACCGAAUAAUAUAUUGAACCGCAUGGUUCAAUAGUGAAAAACGGUUUUGCUGUCACUUAUAGAUGGAUCCGCGCCGCAUUAGCUAGUUGGUAGGGUAACGGCUUACCAAGGCGACGAUGCGUAGCCGACCUGAGAGGGUGAUCGGCCACACUGGAACUGAGACACGGUCCAGACUCCUACGGGAGGCAGCAGUAGGGAAUCUUCCGCAAUGGGCGAAAGCCUGACGGAGCAACGCCGCGUGAGUGAUGAAGGUCUUCGGAUCGUAAAACUCUGUUAUUAGGGAAGAACAAAUGUGUAAGUAACUAUGCACGUCUUGACGGUACCUAAUCAGAAAGCCACGGCUAACUACGUGCCAG